Sitodiplosis mosellana (orange wheat blossom midge) is the source of this 935-nucleotide long non-coding RNA. RefSeq lists it as uncharacterized. The record is from RefSeq and is a predicted model, not a curated record. Lineage: Eukaryota; Metazoa; Arthropoda; Insecta; Diptera; Cecidomyiidae. The transcript has 3 exons.
UUUUAUCUCGCUUAAUGUUCAACUUCAAAUAGCUAGUUGUGGUGAAUAGCGUUCAUAUCGUUGUUUGUAUUUGGUAUUUUUUUUUUUUUUGGUAUGCUACGAUGAGAUCACAGUUACAUAUACAUACAAACGCACACGUAUUACACUAACACUUCAUGCCAAUUUGAAGCGUGCACACGUGUAUGUGCGUGUGUAUUUGUGUUUGUAUCGUAUUGUAUUGUUGUUCAAGUCAAAUUGAAAACAUCAGAUGAAACUUGUUGACAAGCAUGAACACAGUCGGGUUUCACAUUGACUUCACUGUUGAUAUGUACUUUCAAUACGCCUUACGCUUAUUUUUAACAUUAAAUAAUUUCCAAAAAAUAUGAACGAACCCAAUAAAUCAAAAGCGCCCAUAACAGAUCAACCGCGAUAUAAUGCGGACAGUGCAAGAGAUACAGUGGAUUCUAAUGACAGAGGUCUAAGUCAAGCAGACGAUUCUUGUUAUGUGGAUUGUUGUGUUUGCUGUGCUCAAACAUGCAACCAAUGCAAUGAUAGUAUGGUCAGCUGGCUAUUUUGCAUCGAUUUCUGGCAAAUUUUUUGCAAUGUCGAUUGCUGUGUACCGUGCUGUGAUGCACUCUGUGCGUGUUGUCAUCCAGACUGUUGUGCCGCCCUUUGACAUCUCGGAUGUGUUGUUCAGUAUAGCAACGCUCAAAAUUAUGCACAUUCAAAUAUGAGACAUAUGACUAAGGGUCUCAGAUAAGAAAAUCUGAGCGGUUAUGAUGUUGACUAUUGGAGAAAUGAAAGCCUUGCAUAGGACAUAUUCUCACAACAACUUAAACACAUUUCAACCCACAAAAAUGCAUUAAGCAUCUUCCUAUCGUUCCAUUGUUGAGUGAUAUUUUUUAUAUUACCAAUCGUUUGUACAAAAAUAAAAGAUAAAUCUUUUUUUUUCUAAA